GAUGAACGCUGGCGGCGUGCCUAAUACAUGCAAGUCGAGCGAACAGACGAGGAGCUUGCUCCUCUGACGUUAGCGGCGGACGGGUGAGUAACACGUGGAUAACCUACCUAUAAGACUGGGAUAACUUCGGGAAACCGGAGCUAAUACCGGAUAAUAUAUUGAACCGCAUGGUUCAAUAGUGAAAGACGGUUUUGCUGUCACUUAUAGAUGGAUCCGCGCCGCAUUAGCUAGUUGGUAAGGUAACGGCUUACCAAGGCAACGAUGCGUAGCCGACCUGAGAGGGUGAUAGGCCACACUGGAACUGAGACAAGGUCCAGACUCCUACGGGAAGCAGCAGUAGGGAAUCUUCCGCAAUGGGCGAAAGCUUGACGGAGCAACGCCGCGUGAGUGAUGAAGGUCUUCGGAUCGUAAAACUCUGUUAUUAGGGAAGAACAAAUGUGUAAGUAACUAUGCACGUCUUGACGGUACCUAAUCAGAAAGCCACGGCUAACUACGUG
Molecule: ribosomal RNA, 497 nt
Filed under: uncultured bacterium
Lineage: Bacteria
Description: partial 16S ribosomal RNA
Rfam family: Bacterial small subunit ribosomal RNA
Source: RNAcentral